GUGGGGAAUCUUGCGCAAUGGGCGAAAGCCUGACGCAGCGACGCCGCGUGGGGGAUGAAGGCCCUCGGGUUGUAAACCCCUUUCGGCAGGGACGAAGCGGUUCCGUGACGGUACCUGCAGAAGAAGCCUCGGCUAACUACGUGCCAGCAGCCGCGGUAAGACGUAGGAGGCGAGCGUUGUCCGGAUUCAUUGGGCGUAAAGAGCACGCAGGCGGUUUGGCAAGUCGGAUGUGAAAACCCGGAGCUCAACUCCGGGCCUGCAUCCGAAACUGCCCGACUAGAGGUAGGUAGGGGAGAUCGGAAUUCCUGGUGUAGCGGUGAAAUGCGCAGAUAUCAGGAGGAACACCGGUGGCGAAGGCGGAUCUCUGGGCCUUACCUGACGCUCAGGUGCGAAAGCUAGGGGAGCGAACAGGAUUAGAUACCCGGGUAGUCC
Molecule: ribosomal RNA, 432 nt
Filed under: uncultured bacterium
Lineage: Bacteria
Description: bacterial SSU rRNA
Rfam family: Bacterial small subunit ribosomal RNA
Source: RNAcentral